This 547-nucleotide ribosomal RNA is filed under the name bacterium enrichment culture clone Cont92_3130. RNAcentral's name for it is "bacterial SSU rRNA". It matches the Rfam family "Bacterial small subunit ribosomal RNA", at positions 8 to 525 of the family's 1533-position model. The record is from RNAcentral.
AGAGUUUGAUCCUGGCUCAGAACGAACGCUGGCGGCGUGCCUAACACAUGCAAGUCGAACGAGAAAAUUACGCUUCGGGCGUGAGAGUAAAGUGGCGCACGGGUGAGUAACGCGUGGGUAACCUACCCCUUAGACUGGGAUAACCCCGCGAAAGCGGGGCUAAUACCGGAUAUUGUCCCAGGGGCUUUGGUUCUUGGGAUGAAAGGUGGCCUCUUCUUGAAAGCUGCCGUUGAGGGACGGGCYCGCGUACCAUUAGCUWGUUGGUAGGGUAACGGCCUACCAAGGCGACGAUGGUUAGCUGGUCUGAGAGGAUGAUCAGCCACACUGGAACUGGAACACGGUCCAGACUCCUACGGGAGGCAGCAGUGAGGAAUUUUGCGCAAUAGGGGAAACCCUGACGCAGCAACGCCGCGUGAGUGAAGAAGGCCUUCGGGUCGUAAAGCUCUGUCAAGUGGGAAAAAAGUCAACUAGUGAAUAGCUGGGUUUGGGCCUGAUGGUACCACUAGAGGAAGCACCGGCUAACUCCGUGCCAGCMGCCGCGGUAAUA